CCGGAGGGUCGCCACGGUCUUUAAGACACAAGACUCACAAACACUUUGGCAGCUGGACGUCCCGACCGAGGAAAAGGCUAAAAUCAGGAUCAUGAUACUGGAAACAAGGACGUCGUCCUUCUUCCAGGACAUCCAGCUGUUCUGUCAUCAAACGUGGCACAAAGCAGAAGCUGCUGAACGAGGGCAUGAACUGAACGGAUCUGAAUUCCAGAAAUCUGGGACCAACGGAGUUCCUGAACCAAUAAGAGACGCCUUUGGAGGGAAGCUGUCAGCUGAUGUCAGCCUAGAGUUUCUGACGGCAUGUGGCAACAGACUGAUUUCAGCCAAACUGCAGCUGGACAGCAGCUGGAUGCAGAUCUGAUACACAAAGUCUAGAAAUGGAAAGUUGUGUCCAUCAGACCAACACAGCGGAUUCUGGGAUGUUCUGCUCUCUUGGUGAAACAAGCUAAACAUUGUCAGUCAGCACUAAUCUUUGUAACGUCAGCUCUUCAUGAACUUUCUUUAAACUUUGUGUCUAUGAACAAACUGAAGACGUGUUAAAUUUCUAGCGAGGAGUAAAUGUGGGGCUUUGCUCUGGAAUUUGACUGAGAUCUAAUAAUGAGGGAAUCUGCUGCUCUACAGAGAUGCCGAUCACCAAAGUCUGGACAACACAGCUUUUAAAGAAACCAACUGCUGACUUUUCACAUACUUUUCAGUUUAACGUAUUCAGAGAUGGACUGAAAACACUUGGUGUGCUGGACUAAAUCCAAGCUCAGCUCUUCUGUGCUGGUCUCCUGCAGCCUCUCAGCUGAUGUGGCCGACAGUCUUUUCAUUAUCCGCCAUCUCCAGCUGGCAGCAACAGAAGCUGCUGAGGAAGUUCUUCCUUUCUGGAGACACACGCAGAAAUGAGGAAGGAACAGAAACUGGGAACGAUCCUCGCCUUUUCCACAGGAGCCAACACUCCUUCACCGACUGGGUUCUCUCCUCCACAAAGAGGAGGAUUCAGGAAGCUGCAAAGCUGCCGCUGCAAACAGCUGCACUAACUGCUUGAAGCUACGCUGCAGACCUCAUACGGAGACCUUCAGGAAAACAGGGGCUCUGCGGUGGGCGGGACCCUUGGUUUUAGCCCAGCGUAAUAUGUGUACAGGUCUGGAUCAAAGUCUU
Long non-coding RNA from Melanotaenia boesemani (Boeseman's rainbowfish), 1143 nucleotides. RefSeq lists it as uncharacterized. The transcript is spliced from 5 exons. NCBI's taxonomy places the organism in Eukaryota, Metazoa, Chordata, Actinopteri, Atheriniformes, Melanotaeniidae. The record is from RefSeq and is a predicted model, not a curated record.